Molecule: ribosomal RNA, 162 nt
Filed under: uncultured bacterium
Lineage: Bacteria
Description: partial 16S ribosomal RNA
Rfam family: Bacterial small subunit ribosomal RNA
Source: RNAcentral
CGGGGAGGGGGCAGCCUGAUCAGCCAUUCCGCGUGAGUGAAGAAGGCCUUCGGGUUGGAAAGCUCUUUCUCAAGGGAAGAAACCAUACCUACGAAUAAUCUGUGUUAAUGACGGUACCUUGAUAGAACGGCCGGUUAACUACCUGCCCCCCGCCGCUGUAAU